RNAcentral lists this ribosomal RNA (402 nucleotides) under Verrucomicrobiota bacterium. RNAcentral describes it as "Verrucomicrobia bacterium partial 16S ribosomal RNA". It matches the Rfam family "Bacterial small subunit ribosomal RNA", at positions 355 to 776 of the family's 1533-position model. The record is from RNAcentral. Lineage: Bacteria; Pseudomonadati; Verrucomicrobiota.
UGGGGAAUUUUGCACAAUGGGGGAAACCCUGAUGCAGCGACGCCGCGUGAUUUAGAAGGCCUUCGGGUUGUAAAAAUCUUUUGUAUGGGAAGAAAAUGACAGUACCAUACGAAUAAGGACCGGCUAAUUACGUGCCAGCAGCCGCGGUAAUACGUAAGGUCCGAGCGUUGUCCGGAAUCAUUGGGCGUAAAGGGUACGUAGGUGGAUAAGCAAGUUAGAAGUGAAAUCCUAUAGCUCAACUAUAGUAAGCUUUUAAAACUGCUCAUCUUGAGGUAUGGAAGGGAAAGUGGAAUUCCUAGUGUAGCGGUGAAAUGCGCAGAUAUUAGGAGGAAUACCGGUGGCGAAGGCGACUUUCUGGCCAUAUACUGACGCUGAGGUACGAAAGCGUGGGUAGCAAACAGG